GCGAGUGAAGCGGCAACAGCUCAAAUUUGAAAUCUGGCUUCGGCCCGAGUUGUAAUUUGUAGAGGAUGCUUUGGGCGCGGCUCCAACUGAGUUCCCUGGAACGGGACGCCACAGAGGGUGAGAGCCCCGUAUAGUUGGAUGCCUAGCCUGUGUAAAGCUCCUUCGACGAGUCGAGUAGUUUGGGAAUGCUGCUCUAAAUGGGAGGUAAAUUUCUUCUAAAGCUAAAUAUUGGCCAGAGACCGAUAGCGCACAAGUAGAGUGAUCGAAAGAUGAAAAGCACUUUGAAAAGAGGGUUAAAUAGCACGUGAAAUUGUUGAAAGGGAAGCGCUUGUGACCAGACUUGGGCCUGGCGGACCAUCCGGUGUUCUCACCGGUGCACUCCGCCAGGCACAGGCCAGCAUCGGUUCUCGUGGGGGGAUAAAGGUCCCGGGAACGUAGCUCCUCCGGGAGUGUUAUAGCCCGGGGCGUAAUGCCCUCGCGGGGACCGA
Molecule: ribosomal RNA, 488 nt
Filed under: uncultured Chaetomidium
Lineage: Eukaryota; Fungi; Ascomycota; Sordariomycetes; Sordariales; Chaetomiaceae
Description: eukaryotic LSU rRNA
Rfam family: Eukaryotic large subunit ribosomal RNA
Source: RNAcentral